RNAcentral lists this ribosomal RNA (253 nucleotides) under uncultured bacterium. RNAcentral's name for it is "partial 16S ribosomal RNA". It matches the Rfam family "Bacterial small subunit ribosomal RNA", at positions 524 to 776 of the family's 1533-position model. The record is from RNAcentral.
UACGUAGGGGGCAAGCGUUGUCCGGAAUCAUUGGGCGUAAAGAGCGCGUAGGCGGCCCUGUAAGUCCGCUGUGAAAGUCAAGGGCUCAACCCUUGGAUGCCGGUGGAUACUGCAGGGCUAGAGUCCGGAAGAGGCGAGUGGAAUUCCUGGUGUAGCGGUGAAAUGCGCAGAUAUCAGGAGGAACACCUGUGGCGAAAGCGGCGCACUGGACCACAACUGACGCUGAGGCGCGAAAGCUAGGGGAGCAAACAGG